RNAcentral lists this ribosomal RNA (288 nucleotides) under uncultured Chlorophyceae. RNAcentral's name for it is "partial Bacterial small subunit ribosomal RNA". It matches the Rfam family "Bacterial small subunit ribosomal RNA", at positions 12 to 295 of the family's 1533-position model. Lineage: Eukaryota; Viridiplantae; Chlorophyta; Chlorophyceae. The record is from RNAcentral.
UUUGAUCCUGGCUCAGAACGAACGUUAGCGGUGUGGAUUAGGCAUGCAAGUCGAGCGUGAAAGUCUUCGGACGAGUAAAGCGGCGAAAGGGUGAGUAAUACGUAGUCAACCUACCCCCGAGACCGGAAUAACCGCUGGAAACGGCGGCUAAUGCCGGAUGGUCCCGACGGAUGGCCUCAUCUGACGGGUAAACGGUAGCGCAAGCCUCUGCUCGAGGAGGGGACUACGGGCUAUCAGCUUGUUGGUGGGGUAACGGCCUACCAACUCUACGAUCUAUAGCUGGUUUUA